This 1153-nucleotide long non-coding RNA is filed under the name Elaeis guineensis (African oil palm). Its description in RNAcentral is "long non-coding RNA (EGUI_LNC009451)". Lineage: Eukaryota; Viridiplantae; Streptophyta; Magnoliopsida; Arecales; Arecaceae. The record is from RNAcentral.
AUUUUGAUUCCUUGUUUAAGAGAGACAAAACAAUCUCUGUUUUAUUGUUAUGAUGUCAAAAGAAUAGGGACUAUCUGAAACCGUCUAAUCCCCAAAUUCAGUAGAAAAUCUAGCUUGAAUCCUCCAAGCACACUAUUCUUUGAAUCAUUUUUUCCAUAUCAAUAAAAUAAAAAGAAUAGAAGCAUGUUGGGUCAAUGCUUAGAUGCCUAGGAACAAAACUUUGUUCCAUGUGCUAAGAAAUCUACAACCUCGAUAAAAUCCCCCAACCAACUAAAAACAUGUGAUAGUCAAAAGAAAAAUUGAUAGCCUGGUUAAAGCCAUGACUCAGUUUUUGCAAGCAUAUUUUGCUGUCGUUCACAUAUAAUUCAAGACAAUUCGACCAUAUGAUUCUAAAAAUCACACCAAAAAUUAAGUGGAGAUCAAAUUUGUAAAAAAGUUCAUAACAUCUGUAAUUAUCAUAAAUUCAAUGGAAAGCUCAUAUGAUGUGUUAGUCACUUAUUUUUCUUACUCAAAAGAUGUGCUGGAUCUAAAGCAGGACCACCAACAAUCAAAAUUAUGGAGUUGUACACAUUAUAUUUCAGACACUUAAACCCAAUUAAAAGAGCUAGAAAUUCAUCGCAUCUGCUCUUUCUGGGUACUCAUAAUCAAGUGAAAACACAAAGAGGAAACUGAAAGAGAAUAUCUAAUACAAACUAGUUCCAAAUAUCAAACCAAAAAUGCCAAAAUCUUCCUGAUGACACAAUAGCAAGAAAAGGAAAAAAUAAUGAAAGAAUAAAUCUUUGCUUGGACAAAAAUCUGGCUUGUAUCUCCUCUUUAUUGUUCACCUUUGAACUAUUCAUCAAACAAAACAACUUCUAGACCUAUAACAUACUCCAUCCAAAACUUCUUAUGAAAACAUGAAGAACUGAAAAACAACCAGAACCAAAUCAAAGAACUCCAUGAAUCCUUCAUUAUUCGAGCACACAUCUCACAGAUUAAACUAACGACAUCGAAAAAAAAUCUAAAGGACAGAGAGAAGAAAGAUCAAAGAAGAUGGAAGAAAAAGAAGAACACCAACUUGAUUUUAACAUAGGAACUACUCCAAUCCGUUGCUUGGAAGACGUCAACACCGGCCAAAGCACUCCUAUUUCACUGAAAUUGUAUUCAACUAGAU